Molecule: ribosomal RNA, 329 nt
Filed under: uncultured eukaryote
Lineage: Eukaryota
Description: partial 18S ribosomal RNA
Rfam family: Eukaryotic small subunit ribosomal RNA
Source: RNAcentral
CCCUUAGAUGUUCUGGGCCGCACGCGCGCUACACUGUUUGAUUCAGCGAGUCUUAACCUUGACCGAAAGGUUUGGGUAAUCUUCUAAAGUCAAACGUGAUGGGGAUCGAUCAUUGUAAUUAUUGAUCGUGAACGAGGAAUUCCUAGUAAAUGCAAGUCAUCAGCUUGCGUUGAUUACGUCCCUGCCCUUUGUACACACCGCCCGUCGCUACUACCGAUUGAAUGGUUUAGUGAGAUCUCCGGAUUGGCUCUGUAGGUCCCGCAAGGGAUUUAUUAGUAGCCAAGAAGCUGCUCAAACUUGAUCAUUUAGAGGAAGUAAAAGUCGUAACA